This 17-nucleotide transfer RNA is filed under the name Mogurnda adspersa (purple-spotted gudgeon). RNAcentral describes it as "partial tRNA-Phe". The record is from RNAcentral. Lineage: Eukaryota; Metazoa; Chordata; Actinopteri; Gobiiformes; Eleotridae.
AGAAAGCUCCGCAAGCA